GAUGAACGCUGGCGGCGUGCCUAAUACAUGCAAGUCGAGCGAACGGACGAGAAGCUUGCUUCUCUGAUGUUAGCGGCGGACGGGUGAGUAACACGUGGAUAACCUACCUAUAAGACUGGGAUAACUUCGGGAAACCGGAGCUAAUACCGGAUGAUAUUUUGAACCGCAUGGUUCAAAAGUGAAAGACGGUCUUGCUGUCACUUAUAGAUGGAUCCGCGCUGCAUUAGCUAGUUGGUAAGGUAACGGCUUACCAAGGCAACGAUCCAUAGCCGACCUGAGAGGAUGAUCAGCCACAAUGGGACUGAGACACGGCCCAGACUCCUACGGGAGGCAGCAGUGGGGAAUAUUGGACAAUGGGCGAAAGCCUGAUCAAGCAAUGCCGCGUGAGUGAUGAAGGCCUUAGGGUUGUAAAGCUCUUUUACCCGGGAUGAUAAUGAGAGUAGCGGGAGAAUAAGCUCGGGCUAAGGCCGUG
Molecule: ribosomal RNA, 472 nt
Filed under: uncultured bacterium
Lineage: Bacteria
Description: partial 16S ribosomal RNA
Rfam family: Bacterial small subunit ribosomal RNA
Source: RNAcentral